Long non-coding RNA from Equus caballus (horse), 1926 nucleotides. NCBI's taxonomy places the organism in Eukaryota, Metazoa, Chordata, Mammalia, Perissodactyla, Equidae. The record is from Ensembl.
GUGGUGCUGGGGGAGUAGAGACAAGCCUGAGGGACGACGGCUGCCGGAGGGGUGGAGAUGGGAAUGUUUGCGGGGACAGUUUCCCAGGGUUUACCACAAGGGAAAAUUGCUUGUCUUCCCAUUUAAGCAACUCAAUCCCAGCUGGUGUCCCUGGGAGCUCAAGGGAAGGCGCUGAAGAGAGAAAUCUUCCUGCCAGCUUCCUCCAGGAAUGUUUCCCCUGGCGUGAUGUGGGCGCUGGGAAGCGUCUGUUUGGCUCCCUGCUCCCAGGGGACAGGCAUUACUUCCGUUGAGUGUCAGAUAAUUGUCAAGUCCUCACCAAGGAUGAUACUGCUGCUGCUGUGAAACCGUCAAAGGUCUACUGCCUGCUUGGGGUCUGUUGUGAUUCUGGAGCUGUUGAAACACGACAGCAGGUGACCCUCGCUCACCCACGAGAAGAUUAAAUGAAUUGAAGAAAAGACUUGAUCCAGAUGAGCUGACACCGUUUCCUUCUUUUGCGUGUUUGGCUUCCUUCUAGAAUCCCGGGGAAUUUGCUAUCAGCUUCUGUAGCUGCACUGCUUCACAAGGACGGAUGCAGCGGUGCUAAGCGCUAGUGUCGUGAAAUGGUUUCUUCUCAAGGGGUUUUGGGAACACCUGUGGUAAGGGGUGUCUUCGGUCUGGAGGAGUUAGACUGUAUCACCUCACCUCUGCUUUGAGCCACGUGGACAGUAAGAGCUUUGCAAUCUCUUACAAAGGGAAAGGCUGGUGAUCGUAGCAUCUUUGAUUACAGGUUCAUAGGAAAAAAUACUGUGAAAGUUGUCUUUAUUGAGUGUGGUUUUAUCACUGUGGGAGUGACUUCCACUUCACUCCUGGCCGUUUAUAAGGACCAGUACAGACUCAGCUUUCUGCUAGGCAGUCUGCUUGCUGCAUUCAAGAUCCCUCACUGCCAGGUGAACGGCUGGGAAAAUCCUUGCUGUUGUUUCGAUGACGCAGAGAGCAUACCUCUGUCGGGGUGGUCUUCCUUGCCUGUUUUAAACUUCCUUGCACGUGUAAGCAGAGCGCUGUGCGACCUUGCUCAGUUUCAACAAGGGUCAGCGUUUCUUAAUUGGUCUCCAGAUAUCUUGCGGGUCCUGUGUUCUGUUCACCCUGCUGGCUUUUGCAGGCAGCAUUUAUGUUAGGUCCUUUCCCAUUGCUUUCUAGAAGGUGUAAUGAUUGUGCAGGCCUUUUCUUGGGUCAUUAAACAUGUCAAGUUGGUUUAGCCAAGUGGCCCUGAGUAAUGAACUCUGCAUACAAGAUACUCUCUUAACAACGUUGUCUAAGAAAGUCUUUCAUUUUGCAAAAAUUACUCUGAACCCACAUAACCCUAAAUUCACUGCACCAAGGAACAGGAAUGCAAAACUAUCAAGCCUACUGAUGGUUCACCGCACACAUCACAGUAAUAGUAAGCAAUAAACGUCUGCAGAGUCAGCGGGUACAAGGGGGGUUGCCAUUUUGUCUCAUUUCCUGACUUAUUCUUUCAGUAGUUGUCAGGAGAGUAUACAAAAGUCUUUUUGGUCAUCACGGGCCAAAUGUAAUAGACUGUGCAUAGAUCCUCCUGCUGGGGUAGAUGAUGCCUCGGUGAGGACAUAAAUGACAAAGGAGCACAGCAAUGAUGUAAAGAAUUAGAGUUAUAUGGAGAUCCGGAUGAACACUGUCUUUUGAAAAGCUUUUUAAAUUCUCCUCAUCAAAAACCUUAGACACAGUUUAUAGAAAAAGAAUGGGUUUCAAGAAUAGCAGAAAGAAAUGACAGAUGAUUACUGAGGAAAUUAAUUGGUCCUGAUGGAAAACGUAUGCCUUCUUGGUUUCGCAGUUUGGGUGGGCCCAUGAGCUUGGUGCUGCACGCACUGUGUGAAGCAAAGGAAACUGAGGUUUGUGCAGUCAGAUUUAGUCGUGCCCAGGGUUGGGGAGUUG